GUAGGAGUGCCUUCGGGAGCCUCUACAGGUGUUGCAUGGCUGUCGUCAGCUCGUGUCGUGAGAUGUUCGGUUAAGUCCGCUAACGAGCGCAACCCUCGCUGUGUGUUACAAGUGUCACACGGUACUGCCGAUAUUAAGUCGGAGGAAGGUGGGGAUGACGUCAAGUCAGCAUGACCUUUAUAUCCAGGGCUACACACACGCUACAAUGGCCAGUACAAUGGGUUGCCAAGCCGCGAGGCGGAGCCAAUCCUAAAAAGCUGGCCUCAGUUCAGAUUGCAGUCUGCAACUCGACUGCAUGAAGUUGGAGUUGCUAGUAACCGCAGGUCAGCAAUACUGCGGUGAAUACGUUCCCGGGGAUU
This 359-nucleotide ribosomal RNA is filed under the name uncultured Anaerolineaceae bacterium. RNAcentral's name for it is "bacterial SSU rRNA". It matches the Rfam family "Bacterial small subunit ribosomal RNA", at positions 1008 to 1378 of the family's 1533-position model. The record is from RNAcentral. Lineage: Bacteria; Bacillati; Chloroflexota; Anaerolineae; Anaerolineales; Anaerolineaceae.